This 483-nucleotide ribosomal RNA is filed under the name uncultured bacterium. Its description in RNAcentral is "partial 16S ribosomal RNA". It matches the Rfam family "Bacterial small subunit ribosomal RNA", at positions 28 to 523 of the family's 1533-position model. The record is from RNAcentral.
GACGAACGCUGGCGGCGUGCUUAACACAUGCAAGUCGAACGAUGAAGCCGGAGCUUGCUCCGGUGGAUUAGUGGCGAACGGGUGAGUAACACGUGAGCAAUCUGCCCUUGACUCUGGGAUAACUGCGGGAAACUGUAGCUAAUACCGGAUACGACACCUUGGGGCAUCCCAGGGUGUGGAAAGAAUUUCGGUCAAGGAUGAGCUCGCGGCCUAUCAGCUAGUUGGUGAGGUAAUGGCUCACCAAGGCGACGACGGGUAGCCGGCCUGAGAGGGUGACCGGACACACUGGAACUGGGACACGGUCCAGACUCCUACGGGAGGCAGCAGUGGGGAAUAUUGCACAAUGGGCGAAAGCCUGAUGCAGCAACGCCGCGUGAGGGAGGAAGGCCUUCGGGUUGUAAACCUCUUUUAGCAGGGAAGAAGCGAAAGUGACGGUACCUGCAGAAAAAGCACCGGCUAACUACGUGCCAGCCGCCGCAGUAA